Molecule: long non-coding RNA, 588 nt
Filed under: Phoenix dactylifera (date palm)
Lineage: Eukaryota; Viridiplantae; Streptophyta; Magnoliopsida; Arecales; Arecaceae
Description: long non-coding RNA (PDAC_LNC021007)
Source: RNAcentral
UAAAGUGUGCCUUAAAAUUUCUCAUCCCAUUUAUUUGGUAGGAAUUACUUAUAACUGCUAAUGGUUCUUUUCUCCUUUUCUAAUCAUAUGAAAGCUUGAUGCUAGUUCAUUGUUUCUUCACAACACCUGGUUCUUCAUAUCAUCCUACAAAUAUUCCUUGUCAGUAGCAUCACGAAGCCAUUAAAUUGUCACAUUGCUUUCUGCCUCUGAUAUUGUGUCCUCAAGAGUUAAGCAACCAGAAAUGAUUGGUCAUAGUCAUCAAGCCUGUUGCUCCAAUCAACUUAACCAAGUAAAAACAUCAUUACUAAACAUAGACAAGCACCAUCACAUAUUUUUUGGCUGAUUUUAGUUGUAUGCACUGUAAUUGUUGAUUACCUAACUCAGGCUUAUUCUUCUUAUUAAAUUUUAGUACGUGACAUGCUCACUAUGUAAACAAUCCCGAUCAUUAUUCUCCUCCAUAAUUCCCUUUGUUAGUAGUAGCAGUGCAUCUUUUAAUAUCACUUCAACUAAUGUUUGCUUCCCUACUAGUGCUUUUCUGUGCUUGAUAGUGCUCUUUUGUUCCAUUUAGUGAUUAUUUUUCUCGUGCUA